Molecule: ribosomal RNA, 521 nt
Filed under: uncultured Bacteroidota bacterium
Lineage: Bacteria; Pseudomonadati; Bacteroidota
Description: bacterial SSU rRNA
Rfam family: Bacterial small subunit ribosomal RNA
Source: RNAcentral
GGGGAUAACCUUGCGAAAGUAAGACUAAUACCCAAUGAUAUCUCUAGAAGACAUCUGAAGGAGAUUAAAGAUUUAUCGGUGAUGGAUGGGGAUGCGUCUGAUUAUCUUGUUGGCGGGGUAACGGCCCACCAAGGCUACGAUCAGUAGGGGUUCUGAGAGGAAGGUCCCCCACAUUGGAACUGAGACACGGUCCAAACUCCUACGGGAGGCAGCAGUGAGGAAUAUUGGUCAAUGGACGAGAGUCUGAACCAGCCAAGUAGCGUGCAGGAUGACGGCCCUAUGGGUUGUAAACUGCUUUUAUAAGGGAAUAAAGUGAGCCUCGUGAGGCUUUUUGCAUGUACCUUAUGAAUAAGGACCGGCUAAUUCCGUGCCAGCAGCCGCGGUAAUACGGAAGGUCCGGGCGUUAUCCGGAUUUAUUGGGUUUAAAGGGAGCGUAGGCCGGAGAUUAAGCGUGUUGUGAAAUGUAGAUGCUCAACAUCUGCACUGCAGCGCGAACUGGUUUCCUUGAGUACGCACAAAGU